UUAAUUGAAGAGUUUGAUCAUGGCUCAGAUUGAACGCUGGCGGCAGGCCUAACACAUGCAAGUCGAGCGGCAGCACAGAGGAACUUGUUCCUUGGGUGGCGAGCGGCGGACGGGUGAGUAAUGCCUGGGAAAUUGCCCGGUAGAGGGGGAUAACCAUUGGAAACGAUGGCUAAUACCGCAUAACCUCGCAAGAGCAAAGCAGGGGACCUUCGGGCCUUGCGCUACCGGAUAUGCCCAGGUGGGAUUAGCUAGUUGGUGAGGUAAGGGCUCACCAAGGCGACGAUCCCUAGCUGGUCUGAGAGGAUGAUCAGCCACACUGGAACUGAGACACGGUCCAGACUCCUACGGGAGGCAGCAGUGGGGAAUAUUGCACAAUGGGCGCAAGCCUGAUGCAGCCAUGCCGCGUGUAUGAAGAAGGCCUUCGGGUUGUAAAGUACUUUCAGUAGGGAGGAAGG
This 455-nucleotide ribosomal RNA is filed under the name Vibrio cholerae. RNAcentral describes it as "bacterial SSU rRNA". It matches the Rfam family "Bacterial small subunit ribosomal RNA", at positions 1 to 451 of the family's 1533-position model. Lineage: Bacteria; Pseudomonadati; Pseudomonadota; Gammaproteobacteria; Vibrionales; Vibrionaceae. The record is from RNAcentral.